Molecule: ribosomal RNA, 464 nt
Filed under: Calyptotis ruficauda
Lineage: Eukaryota; Metazoa; Chordata; Lepidosauria; Squamata; Scincidae
Description: partial 16S ribosomal RNA
Rfam family: Bacterial large subunit ribosomal RNA
Source: RNAcentral
AGGUCCUGCCUGCCCAGUGAAAUGUUUUUAACGGCCGCGGUAUUCUAACCGUGCAAAGGUAGCGUAAUCACUUGUCUUCUAAAUAAAGACCGGUAUGAAUGGCUAAAUGAGGACAAGCCUGUCUCCUGCAACCCAUCAGUGAAACUGAUCCCCCAGUCCAAAAGCUGGAAUAUAAACAUAAGACGAGAAGACCCUGUGGAGCUUAAAACUAAAUCACUAACAAACCAGAUAACUAGUACAAAGUUUUAAGUUGGGGCGACUUCGGAACAAAACAAGACUUCCGAGCACAGAACCACCCGUUCUAACCAAGGCAAACAAGCCUAAGAAAAACUGACCCAGUCACACUGACCAACGAACCAAGUUACCCCAGGGAUAACAGCGCCAUCUUCUUCAAGAGUCCAUAUCGACAAGAAGGUUUACGACCUCGAUGUUGGAUCAGGGCACCCCAAUGGUGCAACCGCUAU